Molecule: ribosomal RNA, 411 nt
Filed under: Actinomycetes bacterium
Lineage: Bacteria; Bacillati; Actinomycetota; Actinomycetes
Description: Actinobacteria bacterium partial 16S ribosomal RNA
Rfam family: Bacterial small subunit ribosomal RNA
Source: RNAcentral
UGGGGAAUAUUGCACAAUGGGCGCAAGCCUGAUGCAGCGACGCCGCGUGGGGGAUGACGGCCUUCGGGUUGUAAACUCCUUUCGCUAGGGACGAAGCUUUUUGUGACGGUACCUAGAUAAGAAGCACCGGCUAACUACGUGCCAGCAGCCGCGGUAAUACGUAGGGUGCGAGCGUUGUCCGGAAUUACUGGGCGUAAAGGGCUCGUAGGUGGUUUGUCGCGUCGUCUGUGAAAUUCCGGGGCUUAACUCCGGGCGUGCAGGCGAUACGGGGAUAACUUGAGUACUGUAGGGGUAACUGGAAUUCCUGGUGGAGCGGUGAAAUGCGCAGAUAUCAGGAGGAACACCGAUGGCGAAGGCAGGUUACUGGGCAGUUACUGACGCUGAGGAGCGAAAGCAUGGGUAGCGAACAGG